CGCGCACCCCUGCCGGCAUGGAAGAGCGCGGCGAUUCCGCGCCGGACCCGGGCUGCAGCGGUCUGAGACCCGGCGGCGCUCUCGGCGGCGACGGCGCCCACCCAUGGGCCCCGGAGGACUCCUGGAUGGGCACGCACCCAAAGUAUUUAGAAAUGAUGGAAUUAGAUAUAGGAGAUGCUACCCAAGUCUAUAUAGCAUUCUUGGUGUACCUGGACCUCAUGGAGAGUAAAAGUUGGCAUGAGGUGAACUGUGUGGGGUUACCAGACCUCCAGCUCAUCUGCCUUGUCGGUACCGAGAUAGAAGGAGAAGGGCUGCAGACCGUGGUGCCGACAUCCGUCAGUGCUUCCCUCAGCCACAACAGUGUGACGUACCUUUUCCUGAUGACCCUGGGAUCCACCCAUGACUCUCGGCAUUCCAGUAGUAAUUUGAAUAUUUGAUAUCAGUGAAACGUGACAACCUGCAUUAUUCAAACAGGGACAUGUGUGUGACAUGAUCCUCACCACACCCAGGGCAGAACAUCCUCAGGACUGCUGACUCCAAAAUUCAGAGAGAAUGAAACCAGAUAGAAGAAAGCCGGAGGCACAGCCACAGGAGAGCGCAGCCUGCAGCAGACGCAGAACCAGGACACGGGACCACCUUGCAGGCCCCUCACCGCCCUGGGCAUGGACUGGCAGGUGCUGUCAUUCAUAUUUAAAGAGACAAUCCUCCUGCUUUUUAACACGCUUUACUAUAUGAAAGUCAGAUAGCAAAUUUCAGUGUUCAAAGUUCGAGACCUUAGCAGUUAUAAAGAAAGAGGUUUUCCAUCCCUUUGAAGGUGACGGAGCCUCUCCAACAAGUCCCCUCCCUUCCGUGGAAGCCAGCCUCCUUUUCACAUUCCGCAUCCUAUGCACUGCGUGAUCCCCUCACUGGGUAGCUCUUAAUGGUAUUGCCCAUUCCACACACAAUUCUAUGGAUACAGAAAGAGUUUAAGAAUUUGCAACCUGACUUUAUUUUUAAUAUUGGCUCUGUUUUCAUCCAAAAAUGUUCCUCCAAGCUUUAAAACCCUUCGGCCAUGUUUGAUAGCUCUCCCUCCUCCCUAGUCCAUUGAAUAAACUGGCUGCUAUCCAAGGCACAGCACUUCUGUCCUAGGCACGGGCACGGCUCUUUCAUACAUUAUGGCAUCUUCCCAGGAGAUAGGCAUUACCAUCAUCCCAUUCUGCAGGUGAAAAAACUGAUGCACCAAAAGGUGGUCACCUGACCAAGCUCAUAUGGCAAAACCAGGGCUCUCUGCCCUAGCCAUGGUACAUACUGCUUCUACAUCUGUCCAGCCAAUGUUUGCUCAUGGAAGACAGCACUUAAGAGAGUAGCCGACCCCUCCAAGGGGCCAAUGAAUGAACUCCAGUUCAUCAGCACUUCGCAUCUGCACUGAUUUUUUUUUUCUUUCUAGCACUUGUGGAAUUUGGGAACAUCUUACCCUGAUGUUCACCCUCCGAGGUACUUCCCUUCCCUAAAUCUCAGCAGCUCUCUAGUGUGGUGAGAUCCUGGCACUGUUGCCACAGUCUUGCAGCACCAGAGAAGCUUCUUGGCUCCAGUACGCUCUUCACGCUCCUGAGAGCUGCGCCCGAUGGGGCCGAUCUGUCACCGAGGCUAUAUUUAGCUCCAUCUGCCAGGAAUAUUUCAAACUGCCUAUUUUCGUCCAUGCCGUUUUGUGCAAAUGCAACUGCUCCACCGCUGGUUCGUGGGAAACCAAGGGCGGUCCUGACGAAGAGCAAUUUUUGUCACAUCACCCUAGGCUGAAGGCUGGAAGAGAGGGCUGCAAGCUCGCUAGACUUCAGUAAGGGGGGAACCAAGUCCUUGGGAAGCAGAGGGCGACGGACGGGUUUGAGUGGCACAGAGACUGGGAAUCAGAUCUGGGAGCAGUGCCAUAUCCCACCCGGUUCAGCUCUAGAACAAGCUCUCCUUAAACCGAGUGGCUUAAAACAAGAGCAAUUAUUUGUAUUAUUAUCUCCCAUGGUCUUGGUAGGUGGACUGGUGUGGUAGUUGUCACCAGGGUCUCUCCUAUAAUUGCGUUCAGAUGACAGCUGCGCCUCGAGUCAUCCUGAAGUUGUCCCCCCACAUCUGGAAGUUGGGCCUGGCUUCCAGCUGGGACCUCAGCCCAGGUGUGUGUCAGGACAGCCACAUCCGGCCCCUCUGCAUGGUUUGGGCGUCCCCACAUAAUGGGGGCUGUGUUCCCAGAGGGACAGACCAAGCGGAAUGAGGUAAGGUAAACACUCUAUUGCCUUGUAUGACCUAGUCUUAGAAGUCACAUAGUGUCACCGUGUAGUCCCAUCCGAGUUGCAGGCCAGCCCAGAUUCAGGAGGAGAGAACACAGGCGUACUCCUCAAGGAGAGUGGUAUCAACAGGGUGCAUUGCUCCGCUGUAGACAGCAAGGCCCUGGGACACCUAGGAAUCCCCUUCAUGCUGACACGUAGUAGGUGCUCAUAUAUGUAUUCAUCUGAGAUGACCACGAGGUGGUCAUGAUCUGGGCUGAGAACUAUUUUCACAGCUCAUUUAGAAUGAGAAAAGAGACCCUGGGGAAGGGCGUUUCUGGCAAUGCCCACCACCAGCCGCCCUGGUAAGGGGACAGGGUGCUUUGCAGCCUCCUCCUGCUGCCAGACUCCACGCCCUGCUGCAUAAGGCAGGCCAAAGCCAGUGAUUCAGAGAGCAGCAAAGCCACGGAGCCGCGUUCCAAGUUCGGAGUCAUUGAAGCAAAUGGUGAAGAUGACGAAAUUCAAAAGACAGAGACCUUUUCAGAAAAAGCCAGGGUAUGAAGCAGUGACAGCUUUGAAAGCCGGGCUUGGUUGGGAAUGACACAUUUUCCCCGCUCCCCUUGCACGAGGGCCUUGGUGAGUGGCUUUAAAAUGCCCUGUUAAGUUGCUGAAGGAGUGGCUGCCGGGUCAGCUCAGGCUGGGAGUUGCUGGGGACCGUCUGCAGCACCAGGGAAGCUUCCAUGUUCUUUCUGGCAGGGCAGGUCCUCGGGUCAGACAGAACACACAGGGCUCUCCACCUUCAUUUGUGUUUACUUUCCCCUCUCACUGUCCUUGCUCUUCCAAAACAACCGGGCCCUUGCCCCUCAUCCCACGGGAAACUGUCUUUCCUCCCAGACUGUUUCCAACUCCCCAUCGGGGCCCUUUUCCAGCCAUUGAAAGGGCCAACCCAUCUCUGGUUUGUGGCGGCCACUGAGCACCAGGCAGCCUGGCAUGCCCGGAGCUCUCUCUCCACCCACUUGCCUGAGGGGGAAGGGACAGGACUCGCCGUGCCUCGGAAGGUGUUCCCAUGCGCUUGCUAAAUUGCAAGAUUUUUAUAAAUGCCUGAGCCUCUUUCCAAAGGUGGGCAUCUUUCCAUACAUCCCUGAGAGGGGGGUUGGGGUGGGUGAGGGCGUGCUGGAUAUUGGAGUAGGUGCCCAGUGGGCAUCGCUGGAACCCCCACCACUGGGCAGGUUCAGUUCCGUCUUCACUGUGCAGACCAGGGGACCCACAUUCGGCCCACUCAGCCAGGACUUGGAGGCAAGGGCUUGAUUGUAGACCCCUGGUCCCAGCGUCCAAGUCCUUUUCACUUUGGCUGCUUUAGGGACAUCAGCUUCUCCCCACCCCCACCCUCACCCCGCAGAGGGAACAUAUUGUCCCCUUGUUCCUCCAAUGGCUGAUUCAUGGAGACGCUAAUAAAUUCAUGAUUUGUAAAGAGUUUUGUUCCUCAGCUCCACUCAGAUACGCUCCAGCUCAAAACACAGUGUUCAUUUGCAUCAGAUUUUCCAGGACACUUCCAAUUUCAUGCCACGCUCUGAUGUUUCAUUAAUUCAUUUAGUUACAUUUAUGACUAAGUAUGUUUUCAUUUUACACCAUUUUAACGCAUUGGUUGUACACAAAUUCAGAAACCAGAUUUUUUUUUGUCAGAUGCUAUGCUCUGGUGCUUGAAUCAGGAAAUGCAUCCCCUCUCUGAGGCGCACACCCUCUCUGAUGUAACAGGGUCGUGGGAAUCACUGUGCCUGAGUUCUUUUAUCAGCACUUGUUUUGGGGGAGAACGUUCUCUGUUCCAGCCGCUGGAAGAACCACUGUGUGACCCUCGUUGCAAGCACAGCCCCAAAUAUUCCAUCCUCCUCACCAAGCAGAUUCUGAAGCUCCUGGUCUCAGCACCCCCUCCCAUACUGAGUGUCAAUCUGGUAGCAGUUUCUGCCCUGAGGGUCCCCUCCCCAAAUGUGAUCCCAGGGAAACGUGAGGGGUGAGGCUGGGUGCUAUGUUUUGGCACUAAAGAGACAGCCCUGCCCCUCCCCAGUGGGCGGCUUCAGGCUGGCUGCCCCCCCCCCCAAGGAGGGGCCCCUGCUGGAGCCCUCUCCUUCCAAACCACUGAGUCAUUUCCUCUAGGGACUUCCUCAUUCUGCCCUCCUGUUUGCUUUCACUCUGGAGCUCGUUCUGACCUACCAUUUCCUUCCCCAUCCCCACUGAGCUGUAAUUAAUGGCCCAGCACCUUCCAGCCUCUCCCACUGAACUCUUCCUUCCCACUCUCUUCUCUUGGCUGCAGUCUCCACAUUUCGUACAUGUUUGUGCAAAGCCCUAGAGUUCUUGAAGCUGUGCGGGGGAUACUGCUCCUUUCCUGCAAGGCAUUGCUUGAAGGAUAAACUGGGAAGACGAGUGUCUACGAACUGGCACCAGGAAGAACCAGCUCCCCCAAGAGCUUGUCCUGGAUCAGCCCGACGGAGCAAGCUGAGCAUUGGGAACAGUAACCUUUGCCUAGUGCACUCUGAGCUGCUCACCCCAGAACAUCUGCUGCAUCCUCCGGAAGACAGCUGUGGUCUCCUCAAAGCCCUGGUUUGGCCUGUUGCAUGCAUAUCUGAGACCUGCUGACCUGGGACGGUGGUCUGUGUGGUCAGUAGCAAUAGGCUCCGUGGGGCAGAAGAGGCCAGAAGACACUGGGGCUUCCUGGUUCGUUGAUGGGGUGAAGGAAAGAAAGUACAGAAAGAGAAAAAAAGUGACCCUAGUUCUUCUUGCAGACUUACUUUGUUAGGGAGGCAGUUCUCUGUUCCUGGCACCUGGAGGACCAUGGGUAGUUCUCACUGUAGGCCCAGCCCCAGAAUAUUCCAGCCCCUUCUCCAGAUUCUCCAUCAAAGGAAAUGUCAUGGGCUGUACUAAGGACAGUGGCCUUGGUGCCAUGAGGGUAUUUGGAACAUGUUCGUAGAAGCAGUCAAAUUGAAGUUCAGAAAUUGAAUGUGACAAAAGAGAUGGCCGAUAAACUCAUCUGUUGUCUCAAAACCUUGCAUUGUCUGUUCACUUUAUUGUACCAUCUGUCAUUAUAAAAAAGCUUUUAAAGAUAUUUGUGGGGUGGUGGUCUUUGGCCACCGCUCAAAUGUUAGCAGCCCCCUGGCCCCAAUAAUGUGAGGCCCACAGGAUCAUGUGACUGCUGAUGUAGUGUUGCAGAAUUCCAAACCAAUGCCCUGCCACUUGGAAAACCUGCUUAUAACGGCUAAUCAUCACCAGUUGGGUGACUUCACCAGAAGGCAAGAAUUGCAUGGUUAUGGUCCUGGCUCCUUCCCUCCAAUUCAGAGGAACCCGGCCCCGGGCCUCCACAAGGCUCACCGGCCUCUCUGCUCACCACCUUGGUCUCCCCUCUGAGGACUUCUGCUUCCUUCUCUCCUUUCUUAGAUUUUCAACCUCUCCAUUCCCACUGGACUUUACCAUCUUGAGAGGAUCACCUUCUGAUGCUAAGUUAUCAGGAAACUUCGAAGUUUUCUUCUAGCUUACAAGCAAUUCAGGAUGUCCCUUAAUUACAUGGGAUGCCAACAGUGGGGGACCAAGUAGGAGAAUAUUAGAUCGAAGACCCCUGCCCUGUCACUAAUUGGGUGGUCUCCAGUAUGUUUCUUUACCUCCCCAAACCAGCAUUUACAGCCACAGAACCAUGAUAAUCAUCACUCCAGUGGUUAUGGGAGAACCAGGUCAGGUGAGGUAAAGUCAAUAAGAAUCGGUUCUAGAGUCAGAAAGACCAGAGUUCAAAAUCUAGGUUACCGGUGCUGUGAAAGAAACUAGACCAUCACUGGCCUCUGAGACUCGGUGUUCACCUGUAAAGUGAGGGAAGCAAUAGGAUUUCCCUCCCAAGUUAUUGUAAAGAUUAAAUGCUGAGAAGCACUACAUGCUGGCAGGGAACACACACGCAGUAAGUAGUGCGUUGUUACUCCUGCCAGCCCUCCUAGCUGCCAAGGUGGGCCGGGUCCCGCUCUGUGAGACCCACGGGUGGUGCCUGUGACCAGGAUGGGUGCUCACUCCCACGGUUACGGACCUUUCUUGCAUCUUGUGUCUUCUUCAGUAAAUGUCUCUAUUUUUCAUAGUGCAUGGCUGGCUACCUUCUGGACAGACUUCGCACUUUACAAAGCGUUCCCCCAAUAUUUCUAGUACUCGCCUGGCACCAUGCAUAGUUAUCACAGUGUUGCUAACUAUAUUCCCUAUGCUGUCCUUUACACCCGUGCGGCUGUUUUGCAACUACUAAUCUGUACUUCUU
This is an RNA transcript of Artibeus jamaicensis (Jamaican fruit-eating bat), 6504 nucleotides long. It is a transcript of the gene named tRNA splicing endonuclease subunit 15, with no coding region annotated. The transcript is spliced from 6 exons. Lineage: Eukaryota; Metazoa; Chordata; Mammalia; Chiroptera; Phyllostomidae. The record is from RefSeq and is a predicted model, not a curated record.